GGAGUGGUUUGGCACCUCGAUGUCGGCUCAUCGCAUCCUGGGGCUGAAGUAGGUCCCAAGGGUUGGGCUGUUCGCCCAUUAAAGCGGUACGCGAGCUGGGUUCAGAACGUCGUGAGACAGUUCGGUCCCUAUCCGGCGUGGGCGUAGGAUAUUUGAGAGGAGCUGUCCUUAGUACGAGAGGACCGGGAUGGACUGACCUCUGGUGUAUCUGUUAGACUAUCAAGUCUAUGGCAGAGUAGCCAAGUCGGGAAGGGAUAAACGCUGAAGGCAUCUAAGCGUGAAGCCCCCCUCAAGAUGAGAUAUCCCAUACGCAAGUAGUAAGACCCCUUGAAGACGACGAGGUAGAUAGGGCAGAGGUGGAAGCAUGGCAACAUGUGGAGCUGACUGUUACUAAUAGGUCGAGGGCUUAACCAA
This 414-nucleotide non-coding RNA is filed under the name Hungatella hathewayi WAL-18680. RNAcentral describes it as "Clostridium hathewayi WAL-18680 Bacterial large subunit ribosomal RNA". It matches the Rfam family "Bacterial large subunit ribosomal RNA", at positions 2510 to 2925 of the family's 2925-position model. The record is from Rfam by way of RNAcentral. Lineage: Bacteria; Bacillati; Bacillota; Clostridia; Lachnospirales; Lachnospiraceae.